AUACCUUUCUCGGCCUUUUGGCUAAUAUCAAGUGUAGUAUCUGUUCUUAUCAGUUUAAUAUCUGAUAUGUGGUUCAUCGGGUCACACGAUAUUAACUCUAUUUUUAAGGGAGAAAACCUACUAAUGUAGCUUGCUAUCUGGUGUUUCUCAAAAAAAAAAAACAAAA
This 166-nucleotide small nuclear RNA is filed under the name Brassica rapa (field mustard). RNAcentral's name for it is "U2 spliceosomal RNA". It matches the Rfam family "U2 spliceosomal RNA". Rfam says of the family: U2 is a small nuclear RNA (snRNA) component of the spliceosome (involved in pre-mRNA splicing). Complementary binding between U2 snRNA (in an area lying towards the 5' end but 3' to hairpin I) and the branchpoint sequence (BPS) of the intron results the bulging out of an unpaired adenosine, on the BPS, which initiates a nucleophilic attack at the intronic 5' splice site, thus starting the first of two transesterification reactions that mediate splicing. The record is from Rfam by way of RNAcentral. Lineage: Eukaryota; Viridiplantae; Streptophyta; Magnoliopsida; Brassicales; Brassicaceae.